This 266-nucleotide ribosomal RNA is filed under the name uncultured bacterium. Its description in RNAcentral is "partial 16S ribosomal RNA". It matches the Rfam family "Bacterial small subunit ribosomal RNA", at positions 793 to 1055 of the family's 1533-position model. The record is from RNAcentral.
GUCCUAGCCCUAAACGGUGCUUGCUUGCUGUAAGAGGAAUCGACCCCUCUUGUGGCGGAGCUAACGCGUUAAGCAAGCCGCCUGGGAAGUACGGUCGCAAGAUUAAAACUCAAAGAAAUUGACGGGGCCUGCACAAGCGGUGGAGUAUGUGGCUUAAUUCGAUGCAACGCGAAGAACCUUACCUGGCCUUGACAUGCACAUAGUAGAAGCCUGAAAGGGUGACGAGGUAGCAAUACCAGUGUGCACAGGUGCUGCAUGGCUGUCGU